This 371-nucleotide ribosomal RNA is filed under the name uncultured organism. Its description in RNAcentral is "bacterial SSU rRNA". It matches the Rfam family "Bacterial small subunit ribosomal RNA", at positions 526 to 896 of the family's 1533-position model. The record is from RNAcentral.
CAGAGGGUGCAAGCGUUGUUCGGAAUUAUUGGGCGUAAAGCGCGUGUAGGCGGCUUAGCAAGUCGGGCGUGAAAGCCCUCGGCUCAACCGAGGAAGUGCACCCGAACUGCUGAGCUUGAGUGCCGGAGAGGAUGGCGGAAUUCCCCAAGUAGAGGUGAAAUUCGUAGAUAUGGGGAGGAACACCGGUGGCGAAGGCGGCCAUCUGGACGGUAACUGACGCUGAGACGCGAAAGCGUGGGUAGCAAACAGGAUUAGAUACCCUGGUAGUCCACGCUGUAAACGAUGAGAACUAGAUGUCGCGGGUGUUGACCCCUGCGGUGUCGCAGCUAACGCAUUAAGUUCUCCGCCUGGGAAGUACGGUCGCAAGAUUA